This 852-nucleotide ribosomal RNA is filed under the name Bacillus subtilis. RNAcentral's name for it is "bacterial SSU rRNA". It matches the Rfam family "Bacterial small subunit ribosomal RNA", at positions 56 to 889 of the family's 1533-position model. Lineage: Bacteria; Bacillati; Bacillota; Bacilli; Caryophanales; Bacillaceae. The record is from RNAcentral.
UGCAAGUCGAGCGGACAGAUGGGAGCUUGCUCCCUGAUGUUAGCGGCGGACGGGUGAGUAACACGUGGGUAACCUGCCUGUAAGACUGGGAUAACUCCGGGAAACCGGGGCUAAUACCGGAUGGUUGUUUGAACCGCAUGGUUCAAACAUAAAAGGUGGCUUCGGCUACCACUUACAGAUGGACCCGCGGCGCAUUAGCUAGUUGGUGAGGUAACGGCUCACCAAGGCAACGAUGCGUAGCCGACCUGAGAGGGUGAUCGGCCACACUGGGACUGAGACACGGCCCAGACUCCUACGGGAGGCAGCAGUAGGGAAUCUUCCGCAAUGGACGAAAGUCUGACGGAGCAACGCCGCGUGAGUGAUGAAGGUUUUCGGAUCGUAAAGCUCUGUUGUUAGGGAAGAACAAGUACCGUUCGAAUAGGGCGGUACCUUGACGGUACCUAACCAGAAAGCCACGGCUAACUACGUGCCAGCAGCCGCGGUAAUACGUAGGUGGCAAGCGUUGUCCGGAAUUAUUGGGCGUAAAGGGCUCGCAGGCGGUUUCUUAAGUCUGAUGUGAAAGCCCCCGGCUCAACCGGGGAGGGUCAUUGGAAACUGGGGAACUUGAGUGCAGAAGAGGAGAGUGGAAUUCCACGUGUAGCGGUGAAAUGCGUAGAGAUGUGGAGGAACACCAGUGGCGAAGGCGACUCUCUGGUCUGUAACUGACGCUGAGGAGCGAAAGCGUGGGGAGCGAACAGGAUUAGAUACCCUGGUAGUCCACGCCGUAAACGAUGAGUGCUAAGUGUUAGGGGGUUUCCGCCCCUUAGUGCUGCAGCUAACGCAUUAAGCACUCCGCCUGGGGAGUACGGUCGC